AGUGACGAUAGCCUAGGAGAUACACCUGUACCCAUGCCGAACACAGAAGUUAAGCCCUAGAACGCCGGAAGUAGUUGGGGGUUGCCCC
RNAcentral lists this ribosomal RNA (88 nucleotides) under Streptococcus pneumoniae. Lineage: Bacteria; Bacillati; Bacillota; Bacilli; Lactobacillales; Streptococcaceae. The record is from RNAcentral.